This 64-nucleotide transfer RNA is filed under the name Siemssenius fulvipennis. RNAcentral describes it as "tRNA-Arg". Lineage: Eukaryota; Metazoa; Arthropoda; Insecta; Coleoptera; Chrysomelidae. The record is from RNAcentral.
AAAUAAGAAGCAAAAUAUUGCAUUUAGUUUCGACCUAAAAUUUUGAUUUUACAAUCCUUAUUUA